RNAcentral lists this unclassified non-coding RNA (1161 nucleotides) under Hevea brasiliensis (rubber tree). Lineage: Eukaryota; Viridiplantae; Streptophyta; Magnoliopsida; Malpighiales; Euphorbiaceae. The record is from RNAcentral.
GUGAUUGACUUUCCAUAACACUUAGAAUAGUGCCAAAUGUCUACCAUUUGUCUUCAGUUACUAAGUUCCAUUAUAUUCAAGCCUGCCAUGGAUUUGAGAUUCAAUUCAUUUGACUUGUCCAUGGAUAUUUGUAUAUCUAUGUAACUCUUUUAACUUCUUUCUUAAGAAAUUUUUAAGGUUUGGUUUGGUUUGCUUUAGGAACUUGUUAUGCAUAGACAUGCAGUGGUUUGUAUUAACUGUCAAUAUGCCAUUUUCUUGAUAUAACCUUGACAUUUCCCAGACAAAUUCUGCACAUAGCAAGUAUAUAAUUAUUUUCAUCCUGUCCAUGGUCCUUAUAAAAUUGAUUCCAGAGUAGGAUUGCCUUGUGAAAUUUCUUUGAUGUGUGGGUCUAAUGACUGAGCCUGAAGUAUUUUCUGGUUGGACAGCUUUUGGCAAGAGAUUUAUCUCUUCAUCCUGUAAAUUUCAGGGUCUUUUUGCUUAUAAAUUCACAAGCAACUUUCUUUUCUAAACAAUGUUUAAAAAUCUUUUACAAAAAUGGUAAAAGGUUUUUGUUACCUCUGUUUUUGCAGCCUGAUAACUUGGUUAAUCUACAUAUUUGCAAGAACUGAUAAAACAAAUUUUACCUUUUCCAGAAGAUGUAAUUUGACAUCAUUGUUUAUUUAUUUUGGUUUUUGCAGUGGAAUUUAAUUUGAAUUUUUUCGGCCAUCAUAAGACACCUUUUCACUGCUUAUAGUUGAUAAAUGAUAUAAUAGGCGUUAUAUAUUAACUUUGACCAACUGCAUAUCCCCCACCAAGAUCUCUUCUUGGCAGGGAAGGGGUAUGCAGUUGUUUUCUUAAAGCCCUUAUUUGGAGAAAUUUUGGAGACCUGUUCAUGGAAUUUGCUGCUUUCUAUUGACCAUGGCCAUGAUGGUUGAUGCUUUUGCUCUAGAAUCUAGAGGGACGGUCAAGGUCAAAUAACUGAUAUAUGAUAGUGGCUUGGAGAGUUGAUGUUGCAAAUUCCCUGGUAAACUUUGGGGGGGCCAUUGUGAGUUGCUUUCACUGGUGGGCUUUGUUUGUCUUGCACCGUGUUAUUGAAUAAUGUGGGGGUAACAACUAGUACUGCUGCUUGUGACCCGACAGCCCAGCUGAUAUCAACAGCUAGCUAUAAUCACAAGCAGCAGU